AAAAAGCCUCUAGCGAGCUUCGAGCGGCCCGUACCCCAAACCGACACAGGUGGUCAGGUAGAGAAUACCGAGGCGAUCGGGCGAACUAUGGUUAAGGAACUCGGCAAAUUACCCCCGUAACUUCGGGAGAAGGGGGGCCACAGACCGUCAUACCCCUUGCGGGUGGCAGCGGUAGGUGGCCGCAGAGACCAGGGGGAAGCGACUGUUUACUAAAAACACAGGUCCGUGCGAAGUCGUAAGACGAUGUAUACGGACUGACGCCUGCCCGGUGCUGGAACGUUAAGGGGACCGGUUAGUCCGCAAGGGCGAGGCUGAGAACUUAAGCGCCAGUAAACGGCGGUGGUAACUAUAACCAUCCUAAGGUAGCGAAAUUCCUUGUCGGGUAAGUUCCGACCUGCACGAAUGGCGUAACGACUUCCCUACUGUCUCAACCAUAGGCCCGGCGAAAUUGCACUACGAGUAAAGAUGCUCGUUACGCGCGGAAGGACGGAAAGACCCCGGGACCUUCACUAUAGCUUGACAUUGGUACUCGAAUUGAAUUGUGUAGGAUAGGUGGGAGACUUUGAAGCCAGGACGCCAGUUCGGGUGGAGUCAAACUUGAAAUACCACUCUGUUGAAUUUGGGUAUCUAACUUCGGACCGUGAUCCGGUUCAGGGACAGUGUCUGGUGGGUAGUUUAACUGGGGCGGUUGCCUCCUAAAAUGUAACGGAGGCGCCCAAAGGUUCCCUCAGCCUGGUUGGCAAUCAGGUGUUGAGUGCAAGUGCACAAGGGAGCUUGACUGUGAGACUGACAGGUCGAGCAGGGACGAAAGUCGGGACUAGUGAUCCGGCACCUGCGAGUGGAAGCGGUGUCGCUCAACGGAUAAAAGGUACCCCGGGGAUAACAGGCUGAUCUUCCCCAAGAGUCCAUAUCGACGGGAUGGUUUGGCACCUCGAUGUCGGCUCGUCGCAUCCUGGGGCUGGAGUAGGUCCCAAGGGUUGGGCUGUUCGCCCAUUAAAGCGGCACGCGAGCUGGGUUUAGAACGUCUUGAGACAGUUCGGUCCCUAUCCUCCGCGCGCGCAGGAGACUUGAGAAGGGCUGUCCCUAGUACGAGAGGACCGGGACGGACGAACCUCUGGUGUGCCAGUUGUCAUGCCAAUGGCACGGCUGGUUAGCUACGUUCGGAAGGGAUAACCGCUGAAAGCAUCUAAGCGGGAAGCCUGCUUCAAGAUGAGGUCUCCCACCCCUUGAGGGUUAAGGCCCCCAGCUAGACCACUGGGUUGAUAGGCCAGAAGUGUAAGCCUGGUAACAGGUUCAGCCGACUGGUACUAAUAGGCCGAGGACUUAACU
This 1329-nucleotide ribosomal RNA is filed under the name metagenome. RNAcentral describes it as "bacterial LSU rRNA". It matches the Rfam family "Bacterial large subunit ribosomal RNA", at positions 1612 to 2925 of the family's 2925-position model. The record is from RNAcentral.